AGAGUUUGAUCCUGGCUCAGAUUGAACGCUGGCGGCAUGCCUUACACAUGCAAGUCGAACGGCAGCACGGGAGCAAUCCUGGUGGCGAGUGGCGAACGGGUGAGUAAUAUAUCGGAACGUGCCCAGUCGUGGGGGAUAACGCAGCGAAAGCUGUGCUAAUACCGCAUACGAUCUCUGGAUGAAAGCGGGGGACCUGCAAGGGCCUCGCGCGAUUGGAGCGGCCGAUAUCAGAUUAGCUAGUUGGUGGGGUAAAAGCUCACCAAGGCGACGAUCUGUAGCUGGUCUGAGAGGACGACCAGCCACACUGGAACUGAGACACGGUCCAGACUCCUACGGGAGGCAGCAGUGGGGAAUUUUGGACAAUGGGCGCAAGCCUGAUCCAGCAAUGCCGCGUGCAGGAUGAAGGCCUUCGGGUUGUAAACUGCUUUUGUACGGAACGAAAAGGCUCUUUUUAAUAAAGAGGGCUCAUGACGGUACCGUAAGAAUAAGCACCGGCUAACUACGUGCCAGCAGCCGCGGUAAUACGUAGGGUGCGAGCGUUAAUCGGAAUUACUGGGCGUAAAGCGUGCGCAGGCGGUUUUGUAAGACAGAUGUGAAAUCCCCGGGCUCAACCUGGGACCUGCAUUUGUGACUGCAAGGCUAGAGUACGGUAGAGGGGGAUGGAAUUCCGCGUGUAGCAGUGAAAUGCGUAGAUAUGCGGAGGAACACCGAUGGCGAAGGCAAUCCCCUGGACCUGUACUGACGCUCAUGCACGAAAGCGUGGGGAGCAAACAGGAUUAGAUACCCUGGUAGUCCACGCCCUAAACGAUGUCAACUGGUUGUUGGGUCUUUACUGACUCAGUAACGAA
Molecule: ribosomal RNA, 848 nt
Filed under: uncultured bacterium
Lineage: Bacteria
Description: SSU rRNA
Rfam family: Bacterial small subunit ribosomal RNA
Source: RNAcentral